CCAAGACAAGACUUGGCACUGAAAGAAUUCACAGGGAAAUAUUUUCAAAUGCUGUGGAACUAUUGGUGCCUAUUCUUGUCAAGU
This 84-nucleotide microRNA precursor is filed under the name Diaphorina citri (Asian citrus psyllid). RNAcentral describes it as "mir-263 microRNA precursor family". It matches the Rfam family "mir-263 microRNA precursor family". The record is from Rfam by way of RNAcentral. Lineage: Eukaryota; Metazoa; Arthropoda; Insecta; Hemiptera; Psyllidae.